Molecule: transfer RNA, 80 nt
Filed under: Lophium mytilinum
Lineage: Eukaryota; Fungi; Ascomycota; Dothideomycetes; Mytilinidiales; Mytilinidiaceae
Rfam family: tRNA
About the family: Transfer RNA (tRNA) molecules are approximately 80 nucleotides in length. Their secondary structure includes four short double-helical elements and three loops (D, anti-codon, and T loops).
Source: Rfam by way of RNAcentral
GACUGAGUGGUUUAGUGGUAAAAUUAGCCGUUGCCAAAAGCACAAUCGGCUAGCCCCGGGUUCGAUUCCCGGCUCAGUCA